GUGGGGAAUCUUGCGCAAUGGGCGAAAGCCUGACGCAGCCAUGCCGCGUGAAUGAUGAAGGUCUUAGGAUUGUAAAAUUCUUUCACCGGGGACGAUAAUGACGGUACCCGGAGAAGAAGCCCCGGCUAACUUCGUGCCAGCAGCCGCGGUAAUACGAAGGGGGCUAGCGUUGCUCGGAAUUACUGGGCGUAAAGGGCGCGUAGGCGGACAGUUUAGUCAGAGGUGAAAGCCCAGGGCUCAACCUUGGAAUUGCCUUUGAUACUGGCUGUCUUGAGUACGGGAGAGGUGAGUGGAACUCCGAGUGUAGAGGUGAAAUUCGUAGAUAUUCGGAAGAACGCCAGUCGCGAAGGCGACUCACUGGCCCGUUACUGACGCUGAGGCGCGAAAGCGUGGGGAGCAAACAGGAUUAGAAACCCCUGUAGUCC
This 425-nucleotide ribosomal RNA is filed under the name uncultured bacterium. RNAcentral describes it as "partial 16S ribosomal RNA". It matches the Rfam family "Bacterial small subunit ribosomal RNA", at positions 354 to 796 of the family's 1533-position model. The record is from RNAcentral.